This is a long non-coding RNA of Diabrotica virgifera virgifera (western corn rootworm), 759 nucleotides long. RefSeq lists it as uncharacterized. NCBI's taxonomy places the organism in Eukaryota, Metazoa, Arthropoda, Insecta, Coleoptera, Chrysomelidae. The transcript is spliced from 2 exons. The record is from RefSeq and is a predicted model, not a curated record.
UUAUGCUAAUACUUGUUAUGUUACGAAAAAAACGAAUUUCUAAAAUUUGGUCAUUCCACAUAAGAUUUUUUGACUGCAAAAAUUGGUUGGCAACCAAUAAUACUUCCAAGAGUAAGAUUAAUUGCAUAGUGGCAUAUUGAAAAUCUGUGAAUUCUUAACCUCCGUGCAUCGUUAUUUCAGUCUAAACAUAGACAGUAAGACGGUCGGAUAUUAUUUUGCAAGGUGCUACAAAAUUUAACGGUUUUCGGGUGACUUUGUCCCAGUUUGUUGAUUGUUGGAUUUUGGUCAUUGGUUGCUUCUAUAUUAAAUUAAAAUACUUCGUCUAAUUCUUCAUUUAGUGAGAGCUAUAGGGAUAAUGAAGAUCUACAUAAGCUUUCCAUUGGAGUUGGAGACUUCGUAAUCGUAUCUGACUACUUUGACAGCUUUCCAGGAAAAUUCGAUGGAUUUGUAAGAGGUAGUAAUAACUGUUACGGUUGGGUGCAAGUAAUGGUACUGGGUGAAAGAAGUUUAUGGCAAUGGCCCGAAGUCUCCAUAAGAAAAUCCUACCACUUGGCUAAUGUUGAUUUCACUGAGCCAUUGGAACUUGUAGAUAACCGAUAUUUCUUUCCAGAUUUAAAAAAAAGCUUGUAAAUCGUUUUAUUGUUCAUUUUUUGUUAAGAAAUGAUGUUUUUUGUUAACCUAGGGUCCUAUGUAAAGUUUCAUGUUAGUUUUAGUUUUUCUUUGUUUGAAAUUUAAAUAAAUUUUUUUCACCUAACAAAA